AGAUUGAACGCUGGCGGCAGGCCUAACACAUGCAAGUCGAGCGGCAGCACGGGUACUUGUACCUGGUGGCGAGCGGCGGACGGGUGAGUAAUGCCUAGGAAUCUGCCUGAUAGUGGGGGAUAACGCUCGGAAACGGACGCUAAUACCGCAUACGUCCUACGGGAGAAAGCAGGGGACCUUCGGGCCUUGCGCUAUCAGAUGAGCCUAGGUCGGAUUAGCUAGUUGGUGGGUAAUGGCUCA
RNAcentral lists this ribosomal RNA (240 nucleotides) under uncultured soil bacterium. RNAcentral describes it as "partial 16S ribosomal RNA". It matches the Rfam family "Bacterial small subunit ribosomal RNA", at positions 26 to 267 of the family's 1533-position model. The record is from RNAcentral.